AUUGAACGCUGGCGGCAGGCCUAACACAUGCAAGUCGAACGGAUGCAGAGUACUUGCUCCUGCUUACAGCUGGGGAGUGGUGAGCGAUGGGUAGAAACCUGCGUGGGUGCGGUGGCUAGCGGCGGGAAAUAGGCGCUAUUACCGCAAACGUCCAGAGGAAGAAAGUGUUAAAUCUUCGGACCUUACUCUAUCAGUUGAGUUUAGGUUGUAUUAGCUGGUUGGGGGGGUAAAGGCCUACCAAGGCGACGAUCCGUAGAUGGUCGGAGAGGAUGAUCAGCCACACUGGAACUGAGACACGGCCCAGACUCCUACGGGAGGCAGCAGUGGGGAAUAUUGGACAAUGGGCGAAAGCCUGACCCAGCAAUACCGCGUGGGUGAAGAAGGUCUUCGGAUUGUAAAGCUCUUUUGUUGGGAAAGAAAGGCAGUAGGUUAAUAACUUGCUGUUUUGGCGGUAACCAAAGAAUAAGCAGCGGGUAACUUCGUG
Molecule: ribosomal RNA, 484 nt
Filed under: uncultured bacterium
Lineage: Bacteria
Description: partial 16S ribosomal RNA
Rfam family: Bacterial small subunit ribosomal RNA
Source: RNAcentral